AUACAUUUAUCGUUUUUGUAUAUACAAACAUUUUUCUAACUGACGGAUUGGUGAUCACUGUACGGCCCAAACUGUACAUUUUCUUAAAUAUGGUAUUUGAAGAUAUGCCCUACUAUGAAGUUAAGUAAGAGCUGCAUGUUUUCAAAGUUUAAUGCAGACCUGGGCAGGAACUUCCGGUAUAUAUGUUUGUAUAUAUAUAUACAGCUGGAGCUGCCGAAUCCCUGAAUAAGGACAAAGCGGCGAAUUAUUCGGCAAUAAGGGAAACAUAUAUUCCUAAUCAAGCGCUAGACAACACCUAAUAACAUUUUAUUUAAUUCGUACUAUCAGCUACAUUGUAGUAGUUAUUAUAAUUUAUGAUACGUAUUAGGUCAACUAUUUUCUCUUGAUAACCGGAAGCAGCAACCUUGUUUCCCAAGUAGAUCGCAUAACGAAUGAAUUUUUCAAACUCGGCUUCUUCGUAUACUAAUCGCUUGUAGCGCGGAUGAACAAACUGUUGUUCUUCAUCCAAAACAAACGGCUUUGAGUUCAGAAU
Molecule: long non-coding RNA, 532 nt
Organism: Drosophila montana
Lineage: Eukaryota; Metazoa; Arthropoda; Insecta; Diptera; Drosophilidae
Exons: 2
Source: RefSeq, a predicted model, not a curated record